This 200-nucleotide ribosomal RNA is filed under the name uncultured bacterium. RNAcentral's name for it is "partial 16S ribosomal RNA". It matches the Rfam family "Bacterial small subunit ribosomal RNA", at positions 32 to 213 of the family's 1533-position model. The record is from RNAcentral.
AAUCAACGCUGGCGGCGUGCCUAACACAUGCAAGUUGAACGCGAAAGGGGAGCAAUCCCUGAGUAGAGUGGCAAACGGGUGAGUAACACGUGGGUGACCUGCCUUCGAGUGGGGGAUAACGUUCCGAAAGGAACGCUAAUACCGCAUGACAUCCUGCUUUUGGAAAAGCGGAGAUCAAAGCUGGGGAUUCGCAAGAACCU